Molecule: ribosomal RNA, 604 nt
Filed under: uncultured bacterium
Lineage: Bacteria
Description: bacterial SSU rRNA
Rfam family: Bacterial small subunit ribosomal RNA
Source: RNAcentral
AUUGAACGCUGGCGGCAGGCCUAACACAUGCAAGUCGAACGGUAACAGGAAACAGCUUGCUGUUUCGCUGACGAGUGGCGGACGGGUGAGUAAUGUCUGGGAAACUGCCUGAUGGAGGGGGAUAACUACUGGAAACGGUAGCUAAUACCGCAUAACGUCGCAAGACCAAAGAGGGGGACCCUCGGGCCUCUUGCCAUCGGAUGUGCCCAGAUGGGAUUAGCUUGUUGGUGGGGUAACGGCUCACCAAGGCGACGAUCCCUAGCUGGUCUGAGAGGAUGACCAGCCACACUGGAACUGAGACACGGUCCAGACUCCUACGGGAGGCAGCAGUGGGGAAUAUUGCACAAUGGGCGCAAGCCUGAUGCAGCCAUGCCGCGUGUAUGAAGAAGGCCUUCGGGUUGUAAAGUACUUUCAGCGGGGAGGAAGGGAGUAAAGUUAAUACCUUUGCUCAUUGACGUUACCCGCAGAAGAAGCACCGGCUAACUCCGUGCCAGCAGCCGCGGUAAUACGGAGGGUGCAAGCGUUAAUCGGAAUUACUGGGCGUAAAGCGCACGCAGGCGGUUUGUUAAGUCAGAUGUGAAAUCCCCGGGCUCAACCUGGGAAC